UACGGAGGGUGCGAACGUUAAUCGGAAUUACUGGGCGUAAAGCGCGCGUAGGCGGUUCGGUAAGUGGGAUGUGAAAGCCCCGGGCUUAACCUGGGAACUGCAUUCCAAACUGCCGAGCUAGAGUAUGGUAGAGGGAGGUAGAAUUUCCUGUGUAGCGGUGAAAUGCGUAGAUAUAGGAAGGAAUACCAGUGGCGAAGGCGGCCUCCUGGAUCAAUACUGACGCUGAGGUGCGAAAGCGUGGGGAGAAAACAGG
This 253-nucleotide ribosomal RNA is filed under the name uncultured bacterium. RNAcentral describes it as "partial 16S ribosomal RNA". It matches the Rfam family "Bacterial small subunit ribosomal RNA", at positions 524 to 776 of the family's 1533-position model. The record is from RNAcentral.